GGGUUACAAGGGCCUUGAGCUAACCCAGUGGUGUUAUGUGUGAGGCACGACAAGGCAUCAGAGAGGCUUGUUGCAUUUGAAGGAACAUACACAUGAAGAAGGUUCUUAGCAUGUGCACAACCAAUAUGUUUCAAGCAUAGUUGAUUACUAGUAAUGACGUAGAGGAUUGUGUCCUUGACCGUGGCAUAGGCUUGUUUGCUUAGUGUGAAUGAUUGAUGCUUAACAAUUGCUAAUCUUGGAUGUAUCCAUGAAGCUAAAUGUGAUCUAGUGAUGUUUAUGGUUAAAUUGUUAGGGCAAAUGCACAUUAGCUCAAUGUUACAGUAGCCCUAGUAGUUCAUUGUGAGUUAAGUAUAGUGAUGCUAAAUGUUUAGUUGAAUGGAGUGUUAUUUUGCUAAAUAUAUGCCCUUGUACUGUGCACAUUCUCUUGUACUGAUGUUAACUUUCAUUAUAUUGGCGAGCAAGUGCAUUAGGUACUUAUUUUGUCAACUAUUGUGUAUUAUGUUAGUGAUAUAUCAAUGAAACCUAAGUUUGAAUGAGUGAGCUUUAUAGUC
This 551-nucleotide long non-coding RNA is filed under the name Hordeum vulgare. RNAcentral's name for it is "long non-coding RNA (HVUL_LNC012618)". The record is from RNAcentral. Lineage: Eukaryota; Viridiplantae; Streptophyta; Magnoliopsida; Poales; Poaceae.